RNAcentral lists this unclassified non-coding RNA (771 nucleotides) under Bradyrhizobium sp. ZJ10. RNAcentral's name for it is "partial 16S-23S ribosomal RNA intergenic spacer". The stretch from base 85 to 158 matches the Rfam family "tRNA". The record is from RNAcentral. Lineage: Bacteria; Pseudomonadati; Pseudomonadota; Alphaproteobacteria; Hyphomicrobiales; Nitrobacteraceae.
CUUCGUUUCUCUUUCUUCGCGGACGAACACGCGCUGGGGCUGCAAGACUGCAGGAUCCCUGGUCCUUAACAGGAUAAGCGUUAGGGGCUUGUAGCUCAGUUGGUUAGAGCGCGCGCUUGAUAAGCGUGAGGUCGGAAGUUCAAGUCUUCCCAGGCCCACCACUUUCAUCGAGUGAGCAUUCGUCUUCUGGUUACGGGGCCAUAGCUCAGCUGGGAGAGCGCGUGCUUUGCAAGCAUGAGGUCGUCGGUUCGAUCCCGUCUGGCUCCACCAGAUGGUUUGAUCACCGAGGUCAUGCACCGUCGUCCGCGAAACAUCACUUCGCAUCCUGCCAGUCUGGAUAGACGGCAGGUUGCGUGAUUUCUGACAUCGUAAAGAGGAGAUCGAUCCGAGUUGGGUCGUGCAGCAGGUUGUUGCGCGUAUCCUUCAUUAUCUCCGGAUCAUUUUCGGCGCUCGAGGUUGACCGCAAGGUCGGCUCUCGAGUUGUAAAAUGAUCCUUUUAGCGAAGCUUGACCGCCUCGCUAUCGGAACGAUCUUACGAAGCAAGCUGGUCUUUCUAGUCAAUGUCCGGCUGUACGUAGCGUUCAUCGAGGGCGCGCGCCGCAAGGCAAUCGUACAGACGACAUUCUGCCGAGUGUGUGUACAUUGAUAAGUGAGAGCAAUCAUAUGCCUUAAGGUCGUUCGGUGGAUGCCUUGUCGCUGAGAGGCUAUGAACGACGUGCUACUCUGCGAUAAGCUGUGGGGAGCUGCGACGAGGCUAUGAUCCACGGAUUU